AAAAUGUCUCCAGUUCAAGCCCUAUUAGCCUUUGGCUGUGAUGGCGCCUCCUACGCUGUGAGGCAUGUACUCUACACCAUCCUAGAAAACAGAAGACUCACUUGUCAGCCUGCAGUGUUGAUGGUGAAAAAGGAGGAAGAAGGAAUGGAACGCAAGAAUGAACAUGAUCUCCACCAAGAAUGCUAUUUCACCAAUUAUGU
This is a long non-coding RNA of Crotalus tigris (Tiger rattlesnake), 200 nucleotides long. RefSeq lists it as uncharacterized. The record is from RefSeq and is a predicted model, not a curated record. The transcript is spliced from 2 exons. Lineage: Eukaryota; Metazoa; Chordata; Lepidosauria; Squamata; Viperidae.